Molecule: ribosomal RNA, 517 nt
Filed under: uncultured bacterium
Lineage: Bacteria
Description: bacterial SSU rRNA
Rfam family: Bacterial small subunit ribosomal RNA
Source: RNAcentral
AGUGGCAGACGGGUGAGUAACACGUGGUCAACCUGCCUUUGUGUGGGGGAUAACUAGCCGAAAGGUUAGCUAAUACCGCAUACGAUCGCUCUGGGGCUCCUUAGGGAAUAAGAGAAACACUCCCACAAAGGGAAACUGCGUCCCAUUAGUUAGUUGGUGGGGUUACGGCCUACCAAAACUCCGAUGGGUAGCUGGCUUGAAAGAGCGACCAGCCACACUGGAACUGAAAAACGGUCCAGACUCCUACGGGAGGCAGCAGUGAGGAAUUUUCCGCAAUGGGCGAAAGCCUGACGGAGCGACGCCGCGUGUGGGAAGAAGGCCUUCGGGUCGUAAACCACUGUCGAAGGGGACGAUAUUGACGGUACCCUUGGAGGAAGCCCCGGCUAACUACGUGCCAGCAGCCGCGGUAAGACGUAGGGGGCAAGCGUUGUCCGGAAUUAUUGGGCGUAAAGCGCUCGUAGGUGGAUUGACAAGUCCGCAAGCAAAGACCCGGGCUCAACUCGGGAAUCCGUGUGGA